AGAGUUUGAUCAUGGCUCAGGAUGAACGCUGGCGGUCUGCUUAACACAUGCAAGUCGAACGGAUUUAUUCCUUUCGGGGAAUAAAUUAGUGGCGGACGGGUGAGUAACGCGUGAGAAUCUACCUUUUGGACGGAGAUAACAGGAGGAAACUUCUGCUAAUCCCUGAUGAGCUAGCUUGCUAGUAAAAGAUUUAUCGCCAAGAGAUGAGCUCGCGUCCGAUUAGCUAGUUGGUGGAUUAAAAGUUUACCAAGGCGACGAUCGGUAGCUGGUCUGAGAGGACAAUCAGCCACACUGGGACUGAGACACGGCCCAGACUCCUACGGGAGGCAGCAGUGGGGAAUUUUCCGCAAUGGGCGAAAGCCUGACGGAGCAAGACCGCGUGGGGGAGGAAUGCCUUAGGGUUGUAAACCCCUUUUAUCUGGGAAGAACAAAAUGACGGUACCAGAUGAAUAAGCCUCGGCUAACUCCGUGCCAGCAGCCGCGGUAAUACGGAGGAGGCAAGCGUUAUCCGGAUUUAUUGGGCGUAAAGCGUCCGCAGGUGGCAGUUCAAGUCUGCUGUCAAAGACAGUGGCUCUACCACUGAAAGGCAGUAGAUACUGAACAGCUAGAGUGCGGUAGGGGCAGAGGGAAUUCCAGGUGUAGCGGUGAAAUGCGUAGAUUUCUGGAAGGACAUCGGUGGCGAAAGCGCUCUGCUAGGCCGCAACUGACACUCAGGGACGAAAGCUAGGGGAGCGAAUGGGAUUAGAUACCCCAGUAGUCCUAGCCGUAAACGAUGGAUACUAGGUGUUGCCUGUAUCGACCCAGGCAGUGCCGUAGCUAACGCGUUAAGUAUCCCGCCUGGGGAGUACGCACGCAAGUGUGAAACUCAAAGGAAUUGACGGGGGCCCGCACAAGCGGUGGAGUAUGUGGUUUAAUUCGAUGCAACGCGAAGAACCUUACCUGGACUUGACAUGUCGCGAAUCCCAAUGAAAGCUUGGAAUGCCUUCGGGAACGCGAAAACAGGUGGUGCAUGGCUGUCCUCACCUCCUGUCCCGAGAAGUUUGGGUUAAUUCCCCCAACAAGGGCAACCCUCCUUUUUUAUUUGCCAGCAAAUAUAAAUUUGGGCCCUCUAAAAAAACUGCCCGGUGACAAACCCGAAGAAAAUGUGGGGAUGAGUUCCAAUUCACCUCGGCCCUUUCUCUCAGGGGUGCACACCUUCUUCAAUGGUUCUGGAACAAAGGUGCCGG
Molecule: ribosomal RNA, 1226 nt
Filed under: uncultured bacterium
Lineage: Bacteria
Description: bacterial SSU rRNA
Rfam family: Bacterial small subunit ribosomal RNA
Source: RNAcentral